This 1040-nucleotide long non-coding RNA is filed under the name Piliocolobus tephrosceles (Ugandan red Colobus). Its description in RNAcentral is "lncRNA (ENSPTEG00000022459.1)". The record is from RNAcentral. Lineage: Eukaryota; Metazoa; Chordata; Mammalia; Primates; Cercopithecidae.
UGAUACAAAUAUUACAAGUAAAAAAAACAAAAAAACGACAGCUUUAUCAAUAACAGUUACAGUAGCAACAAUAGCUACAGUAGCAAUAAUAAUUACACUAGCAAUAAUAAGUGCAGUAACAACAAUAGCUACAGUAUUUUUUUAUUUUAUUUUUUAACUCCUUUAUAAUGUUUUUUUGUAUACAUAUGUAUUUAUACAUAUAUUUUUUAAUUAUUUAAAGGAAAACAAUGAAAUUAUAUUAUGUGUGGGUAAUAGUCUUAACUGCUGUAAUUUUAAAAUUUUUAAAAUGUGUGACUAUUCUGUGUCAGUGUUGUUACCACUUACUAAUAUAUGUAAAGAUUGCUAUGGUAAAAAAGAAAAAACAAAUCCAUUUGAAGAUAAUACUACCAAUAAAAAUAUGUUAAUUACAUAUUCUUCGACCGUUAAUAGCUUACCAUGUAAAUUGACAAUUGAAAAAAGUUCUAUAGAUUUAUCACAGAACAUACUAGAGCUAGUCUAUAAAUUAUUAAAAGGGUCAAGGAUAUAUAAAAAAAACAUAUCCUUAGCAUUGUUUUAUUUUCACUUUUUUUAUUCCUAUCUUUCUUUUUUUUUAUUUAUUAUUGCCAUUUGUUUCUUGCCACCUAUUAUAGCGGUUGUUGAUUAUUUAUUGUUUAUUUUUAUAAUAAUACCAGUACUUUCGGUGAUCCUCUUAAACAAUAACAACAAUUCUACAAUAAUGAACGACAUUCCAGAUAAAAAUAUAAAAAAAGAUGCAGUUAUUAAGUCUUUGGUAAAAAAUAAAAAAAUAAAAAAAAUUAAAAAAAUAAAUGAACGAACAAACGAACACAAACAUGAGCUUAAAGAGCUGAUAAUACUGUGUUUUUAUAUUACCUACGUGCUUGUACAAAUUUUUUAAUAAAUAUAGAAUGUGUGUGUUUAUAUCUUCCAUACAUAUACAUGUUUGCUUCUAUUUUUUCAUUCACGAGUUCGUUUAUUUAUUUUAUUUUAUUUUAUUUAUUCUUUAUUAUUUAUUCUUUAUUAUUUAUUAUUUAUUAUUUAUU